CCUUCUCUUUCAGUUGCCUCAGGUCAGCCAGUCAAAUCAGAGCUCAUGUUCUGGAGGGGUUUCUCCCGGCUGUGUGAAUCUGUAUACCUUGUGGCUGUACGGGUGGCAUUCGUCUCCUUCCAGCCCCUGUGGGAACUAUCAAAACCUGUGACAGUCCAAAAGCUCAGGUGUCUCAUUAAAGAGAGGGGAAACUACGUUCAUGGGACUUCGUCAUCUCUUUCUGUAUGACGCUGGACCGGAUGAUGGAGAAGAGACCUCACUGGACGUUUCACUUCAAGCUAAUCCUUCCUAAUGACACCAGCUAGAGUAGUACAUUUUUCAUGGGGUUUGUGUGAUUUUACAUCAGCUGAGUUAAAUUUAGAAGAGCAUUAUUUGCCAGUCUUUUUUUUUUUAUGCCCCCCUCAAGCACCCCUUUACUGAAAUGCGCUCAUAUUGUCAGCUCAUUUUAUAUUUAAUAUGAUUUCAAAGAAGAAGUCAUUUUCUAAUUUAAUAAAAUUACCGCUGAUAUAUUAGUGGUAAAAAAAAAAAAGGUUUACAUAUAUUCUGGUAUGAGUGUCCACACUAAUU
This is a long non-coding RNA of Puntigrus tetrazona (Sumatra barb), 567 nucleotides long. RefSeq lists it as uncharacterized. The record is from RefSeq and is a predicted model, not a curated record. The transcript is spliced from 3 exons. Lineage: Eukaryota; Metazoa; Chordata; Actinopteri; Cypriniformes; Cyprinidae.